GAACGCACCUUGCGCCUUUUGGUAUUCCGAAAGGCAUGCCUGUUUGAGUGUCAUGAAACUAUCAACCCCCGGGUUUCCGGGUGGCUUGGAUUUGGGCGCUGCCGUCUCGGCUCGCCUCAAAAGUCUUAGUGGAUUAGGCCAUUGCUUGACGUGAUAAGUUUCGUCUGGUGGUGUGUUUGCGUCUGCUCAUAACCCCCAUAUUUUGUGCUCUGACCUCAAAUCAGGUAGGACUACCCGCUGAACUUAAGCAUAUCAAUAAGCGGAGGAAAAGAAACUAACAAGGAUUCCCCUAGUAACGGCGAGUGAACCGGGAAGAGCUCAAAUUUGUAAUCUGGCGCGCUCCGUGCGUCCGAGUUGUAAUCUACAGAAGCGUUUUCCGUGCCGGACCGUGUCCAAGUCCCUUGGAACAGGGUAUCAAAGAGGGUGACAAUCCCGUGCUUGACACGACGACCGGUGCUAUGUGAUACGUUUUCUACGAGUCGAGUUGUUUGGGAAUGCAGCUCAAAAUGGGUGGUAAAUUCCAUCUAAGGCUAAAUAUUGGCGAGAGACCGAUAGCGAACAAGUACCGUGAGGGAAAGAUGAAAAGCACUUUGGAAAGAGAGUUAAACAGUACGUGAAAUUGUUGAAAGGGAAACGAUUGAAGUCAGUCGUGUCGGUCGGGUUCAGCCGGGUCUCCCGGUGUAUUCCCGGCCGACGGGUCAACAUCAGUUCUGGCCGGCGGACAAGGGCUGGGGGAAGGUAGCACCUCCGGGUGUGUUAUAGCCCCCUGUCGCAUACGUCGGCCUGGACUGAGGAUCGCAGCUCGCCUUUAUGGCAGGGGUUCGCCCACUCCGAGC
RNAcentral lists this ribosomal RNA (836 nucleotides) under Cryptococcus sp. MOM_846. RNAcentral describes it as "eukaryotic LSU rRNA". The stretch from base 211 to 836 matches the Rfam family "Eukaryotic large subunit ribosomal RNA", at positions 1 to 615 of the family's 3401-position model. The record is from RNAcentral. Lineage: Eukaryota; Fungi; Basidiomycota; Tremellomycetes; Tremellales; Cryptococcaceae.